This is a long non-coding RNA of Salvelinus sp. IW2-2015, 193 nucleotides long. RefSeq lists it as uncharacterized. NCBI's taxonomy places the organism in Eukaryota, Metazoa, Chordata, Actinopteri, Salmoniformes, Salmonidae. The record is from RefSeq and is a predicted model, not a curated record.
GCAGCAGUGGGUAUGCUUCUGGAGUGGGUGUGUUCUUGAUGGGAUUGACAGCUGUCUUCUCUGCAGGAGGACCAAGAAAACCAAUUCUCAGAGACCUACAGCCAGACAGGAUGAUCACAGACAAUAUGAUUUGGUGAUGGGAGCUAUGAGCAGUGCAGGCAUGUUGGAUUCAAGGGAUGCUGGGUUCUAUUCU